UCAGAAUCCGAAUAGCGGCUCCUAGAGCCAAACCACAUUUUACACAUUAAGGAACUGUUUCUGGUAAAGUGUUGCUGAUACUAACACAGGAUAAAUAUAGUUUUAAAAACCGAAUAAGUUUAAAUGGUCCUUCAAGAAAGCAAACGCCUUAAUUUGACCAAAGAGAAAUAAUUUCCUUAUGUUUUAUUUUAAAUACUGUGUUGAUGAUGAAGCUCUUUCUUUGAAUUAAGACUAGCACAACUGAGAUUAAAUCGACGGAGAACUCACUUGACAUGCACUUCACGGACCGCCACGGACUACUACAGUAACAUAAGCCUGGCCUGUGGAGAGCAAACCCACCCACCCACACGGGGUGAAAUCCACAUCCCCUCAAGGAGUGCAGUGAGGUCACAGGAGAAGAAAGCAGCAUUGUGCAGUCAGAGGGAUGGAGGACAGGAGGCACUUGCCUCCAGAUGGAGGUGGCAAUGCCAAGCGCUCCGCCUCAGCAGAGUGCAACACAGAGGAUAGAGUGGUCAGGAAGGAGCAGGGUGACCCUGAGACCUCGACACAAAUGCGUGUGAGAAAAGACGAUCUCUGUGAUGUCCCUCGCAAGGUGCCUCGUUUCCAGUAUGUGGAUUUCCCUUCUCUGCACCAGUGCAUCCAACAGCUUUCCGUGCCUCCGCUCAGCGGUUGGCUGGGAUCCUGCUCAUUGACAAAGGCACCAGACUAUAGGCCCACCAGUCCUAAGGAUAAGGUUCCCAAGUUUAAAUAUGUGGACUACCCAUCUCUCCACCACUGCAUUCAGCAGCUGUCCGUGCCACCUUUAGAAAGCUGGAGUGCAGGGCUGGUCAGGUUUAAUGCAGAGGGGAAACAGGACGAUUCUGGGACUGUGAAGAAUAACUUAAGGAAAGAGGUAGGAGAUCAAAACAUCGAGGACAGGAAUAGAGUAACAGCAAUUUCUUUCCCAAGAGCCACACGCACCUCAGUCUCAGGUAAGGAGGAGAGGCCUCAACACGACUACACCUCAGAGGUGCCACAGAGGUUAGAGAAAGGUAACGCACCUCUAAGGUUCUGGGCUAAUAAACCAGAAGCUGCUUUACAAUCCGAUUGCAGAUCCAGGUCAGAAUCUGGUUCUGGAUGUGAUAGUGAUGCAGCAGUGGCGAGAAACGACAGACCAUCGGUUAUUAACAUGGUGUACACAGAUAAGCAGAAGCACUGGACAAAGGCAGAUCAGCUGGAAGAACAACUGACCUCUCCUGAAUCAGUCGGACGUGUAACGUGGAAUACCCUCCCAGAGUCAGUCUGCCCAUUCUGCCAACAGAUGUUCACAAACCCUGAGCAGUUCAGGGCUCAUCAGCGGAGCCAUAGAGAUAAGAGACCAAACUGAUCUGCAGAAGUACUGAGUGAGAACUGCUUUUGGCAAACAGUUAUUGCCACAUCAAAUGGAAUCGUAUCAUCAGAGGUCUUCUUGUGUUGUGACCGGCCGAAGUGGUAUCGCUGACGGGACUAGAGGGAGACGUUUGGGUUCAGACCUUAGGAAUUGGACUGAUGUUGUGAUGUCUAAAAAGACAACUGAAAAAAACGUAACAAACAAGCAUACAAUAUGCAUGCACAUACAGUACUCAGAGUAUCCAAUUCAUGUUUCAGAAUAGGUCAACAUUUACUGCCCUAUAUAAGGACCAUUAAAUAUAAUGGGGUUUCAGCUCAAGAUGGGAUUAGAACAAGAUUUGUGGUCUCUUCCACACAUAAAUCAGCGUGUUUACAGGGGUGGGUGAAGCUCGAUGGACUGGUGCAUAGGAGGAUGAAUUGUAUUACAUAUAUGUGUUCCCCACACUGUGUGCAUAGUGGCAGGCUAAAUACUUAGCUUUGGGUGCCUACAAAAUAAUGACUAUUGUUAAUGCUGCACAAACAAACAGGCUUGUUAAUAUUGUUAAUAGCGUUUUAUUGUUUUGUAUUUUUUUUAUGUUUUUGGAAAUUAAUGUCUAGUGGCUUCGAGCUAGUAGCUUUAAAUCUUAAAAAUUUGUCGCUUGUUUUCAAGUUUUUAAUUGUGUAAGUAAAGUUUUUUUCAUACAGAAAUAAAUGUUUGACUUUUCAGUACAGGCAUGCCCUCUGCAAGAAAACCUGUUUGACAGGUUACCUCUCAGGUUCUUAGAUGAAGUAUUUACGCUUUAUGUAAACAUAAGAGCUAAUCCAACAUCAACAUCUACAGACUUUCCAGAGCUCAGCUGUGCUGUGGGGUUUUCCGUAAACAAAUGGUGUUGCACAUUCAUUUUCACGCAAAAGAGAUCCACAGCACAGCACACCAAAUUUCGUUGAGGAUUUUAAAUUAAUCUCACUCAAACAGAUCUCAUGACACGUCCUCGAAGAACCACAAAAAAGUGCGUGAAAAAUGAGGGUAUAAACCCAAACAAGGAAGAGCUGAGAAGCGUGAGAAAGACAGUUAUAAAGUGGAAUAGAAGAGGAAGGACAACAAUGGGAACUGGAAAUUCACAAGUGUGCGAUUUGACUGAUGAUCUCAGCGAGGAGGAAAGUAUUUUAAAGGCGCUUUCUCCUCCCUCUCAAACUCAAUCCAUAAUAAAUAACCAAUCCGUAAAGACUUCUGGAUCCCAGGAAGAUGGAAACAAUCUAGAUCCCACAAACAAAAGUUUAUGUGCACUUAAACCUGCAUAUAUAAAAGGUAGUGAUAAACUGCUUCAGUGCACUAGAUGCCCAACCACUCAGCUCCUCUGUGGCUCCUGCCUUUACCCCUGCACUUCCGCUGCCUGCACCAACAAGCUGUGCCCCCUCGUCUCCACACUGCUAACCUGUGAAGUGGUCUCAGAUCCAAAGAGCAAAGUGCUUGGUUGUCCAAUGUUCAGAGCCUGUCCCAAGUGCCAUAAUCUGAUUAUGCAUGAAGGAGGAUGCAAGUUUGUUACAUGCACAUCAUGCUUUCACAGGUUCUGUUUCAUCUGCUUGCAAGAUGAUUGUAGCAAGGAUAAUGCAAACUACUGGAAUCUACAUUGCACAAAGCCGAGAGCAGAAAGACAGAGAUUUAUGUCACCACAAACCUGAACAGAGAUCCCUCCCAGGGUUGAACACUAUUGUCUAAAAUAAAAAUGCAAGAUUUGUCAAUUGCAAUACAGAAGUAAUCAGUAACACAUUUCAUAAAAGGAUUCAAUAUAAAAAAGAAAUCUAACAUUGCAAUGAUCCCAUCUUUCUCCUGUGCUUUGAAUCUAUGCCUUACACCUGACUGACUUGGUGGACUUUGGUUUGCAGGAAUAACAACUCAACAACUUCAAAAACCUUUUACACUGAUUACACUGGCUGAUUUGUAUCCAUGUAAAACACAUUUUAAAAUGCUAGGCAUCGUACACUUACCAACUUUGUAAACAUGCGGUUUCCUAUGAAAUUUGUCAACCAAAUCUGGAGACUGGUUCUGAAUUUCUGCAACUAGCAUCCACUUCUGCAGACUGUAAAUCAGAGGGAAAUUGGGACAAAAGUCUUGUAGUAUAUUUCAGCCUUUCAAUUAUUACAUAAACUAAGCUCAUUUUUUUAUCAUCAUGACUUCAUCUCAUGUUUUUACAAUUUCAUGCCAUUCUUCUGUCAUCCUCUUAGCCCGUUAAUAAGGUUUUGGGUACAGUACAAAAUAAAAACUCUGCUGACAGUUUUGAAAAACAUAGAGUCUAUUGACAGGAUCUGGUAAAGAGACUGGAUCCAGUAUUCGGGUGU
This is an RNA transcript of Carassius gibelio (silver crucian carp), 3687 nucleotides long. RefSeq lists it as uncharacterized. Lineage: Eukaryota; Metazoa; Chordata; Actinopteri; Cypriniformes; Cyprinidae. The record is from RefSeq and is a predicted model, not a curated record. The transcript has 8 exons.